This 353-nucleotide ribosomal RNA is filed under the name uncultured bacterium. Its description in RNAcentral is "bacterial SSU rRNA". It matches the Rfam family "Bacterial small subunit ribosomal RNA", at positions 8 to 350 of the family's 1533-position model. The record is from RNAcentral.
AGAGUUUGAUCAUGGCUCAGGAUGAACGCUAGCUACAGGCUUAACACAUGCAAGUCGAGGGGAAACGACAUCGAAAGCUUGCUUUUGAUGGGCGUCGACCGGCGCACGGGUGAGUAACGCGUAUCCAACCUGCCCACCACUUGGGGAUAACCUUGCGAAAGUAAGACUAAUACCCAAUGACGUCUCUAGAAGACAUCUGAAAGAGAUUAAAGAUUUAUCGGUGAUGGAUGGGGAUGCGUCUGAUUAGCUUGUUGGCGGGGUAACGGCCACCAAGGCGACGAUCAGUAGGGGUUCUGGAGAGGUAGGUCCCCCANAUUGGAACUGAGACACGGUCCAAACUCCUACGGGAGGCA